This 497-nucleotide ribosomal RNA is filed under the name uncultured bacterium. RNAcentral's name for it is "partial 16S ribosomal RNA". It matches the Rfam family "Bacterial small subunit ribosomal RNA", at positions 28 to 507 of the family's 1533-position model. The record is from RNAcentral.
GAUGAACGCUGGCGGCGUGUCUAAUACAUGCAAGUCGAGCGAACAGACGAGGAGCUUGCUCCUCUGACGUUAGCGGCGGACGGGUGAGUAACACGUGGAUAACCUACCUAUAAGACUGGGAUAACUUCGGGAAACCGGAGCUAAUACCGGAUAAUAUAUUGAACCGCAUGGUUCAAUAGUGAAAGACGGUUUUGCUGUCACUUAUAGAUGGAUCCGCGCCGCAUUAGCUAGUUGGUAAGGUAACGGCUUACCAAGGCAACGAUGCGUAGCCGACCUGAGAGGGUGAUCGGCCACACUGGAACUGAGACACGGUCCAGACUCCUACGGGAGGCAGCAGUAGGGAAUCUUCCGCAAUGGGCGUAAGCCUGACGGAGCAACGCCGCGUGAGUGAUGAAGGUCUUCGGAUCGUAAAACUCUGUUAUUAGGGAAGAACAAAUGUGUAAGUAACUAUGCACGUCUUGACGGUACCUAAUCAGAAAGCCACGGCUAACUACGUG